GAUGAAGAACGUAGCGAAUUGCGAUAAGUAAUGUGAAUUGCAGAAUUCAGUGAAUCAUCGAAUCUUUGAACGCACAUUGCGCCCAUCAGUAUUCUGUUGGGCAUGCCUGUCCGAGCGUCAUUUCAACCCUCAGGGCCCGUUCGCGGGAACUGGUGUUGGGGAUCGGCCUCCCCCCGGAGGCCGGCCCCGAAAUGCAGUGGCGGCUCUACCGCGAUCUCCUCUGUGUAGUAGCGAUACCUCGCAGCUGGAUAGUGGUGGUGCCACGCCGUAAAAUCCCAACUUUACCAAGGUUGACCUCGGAUCAGGUAGGAAUACCCGCUGAACUUAAGCAUAUCAAUAAGCGGAGGA
Molecule: unclassified non-coding RNA, 348 nt
Filed under: soil metagenome
Description: partial contains 5.8S ribosomal RNA, internal transcribed spacer 2, and large subunit ribosomal RNA
Rfam family: 5.8S ribosomal RNA (bases 1-120)
Source: RNAcentral